This 1235-nucleotide ribosomal RNA is filed under the name metagenome. RNAcentral describes it as "bacterial LSU rRNA". It matches the Rfam family "Bacterial large subunit ribosomal RNA", at positions 1564 to 2808 of the family's 2925-position model. The record is from RNAcentral.
UGAAUACGAGACGCUACGGCGUCGAAGCAGUCUAUGUCAUACUUCCAAGAAAAGCUCGCAAUGUCAUAAACAAAUAAUGCCUGUACCAUAACCGACACAGGUGGGUAGGUAGAGUAUACUAAGGGGCGCGAGAUAACUCUCUCUAAGGAACUCGGCAAAAUGACUCCGUAACUUCGGGAGAAGGAGUGCCUUAUUUAUAAGGUUGCAAUAACAAGAUCCAAGCAACUGUUUAUCAAAAACACAGGUCUCCGCUAAGUCGUAAGACGAUGUAUGGGGGCUGACGCCUGCCCAGUGCCAGAAGGUUAAAGAAGUUGGUUAGCACUCGCGAAGCUGAUAACUGAAGCCCUGGUGAACGGCGGCCGUAACUAUAACGGUCCUAAGGUAGCGAAAUUCCUUGUCGGGUAAGUUCCGACCCGCACGAAAGGCGUAAUGAUUUGGAUACUGUCUCGGAGAGGGGCUCGGUGAAAUAGACUUGUCUGUGAAGAUGCGGACUACCUGCACCUGGACAGAAAGACCCUAUGAAGCUUUACUGUAACUUGAAAUUGAAAUUGGACUUUAUUUGCGCAGCAUAGGUGGGAGGCGUUAAGAGUAUUCUUGCGGGAAUAUUGGAGCCAUCAGUGAGAUACCACUCUUGUAAUGUUAGAUUUCUAACUUUGGAUCAUUAUCUGGUCAAAGAACAGUUUCAGGCGGGCAGUUUGACUGGGGCGGUCGCCUCCCAAAUGGUAACGGAGGCGUACAAAGGUUUCCUCUGAACGGGUAGAAAUCGUAUCUAGAGUGUAAAGGCAUAAGGAAGCUUGACUGUGAGACCUACAAGUCGAGCAGGGACGAAAGUCGGUCUUAGUGAUCUGACGGUGCUGAGUGGAAAGGCCGUCACUCAACGGAUAAAAGUUACUCUAAGGAUAACAGGCUGAUCUCCCCCAAGAGUUCACAUCGACGGGGAGGUUUGGCACCUCGAUGUCGGCUCAUCGCAUCCUGGGGCGGUAGUACGUCCCAAGGGUUGGGCUGUUCGCCCAUGAAAGCGGUACGCGAGCUGGGUUCAGAACGUCGUGAGACAGUUCGGUCCAUAUCCGGUGUAGGCGUUAGAAUAUUGAGAGGAGCCUUCUUUAGUACGAGAGGACCGAGAAGGACAUACCUCUGGUGUACCAGUUAUCGUGCCAACGGUAAACGCUGGGUAGUUAUGUAUGGAGAGGAUAACCGCUGAAAGCAUCUAAGUGGGAAGCCCACCUCAAGAUAAG